AGAGUUUGAUCCUGGCUCAGGACAAACGCUGGCGGCGUGCCUAACACAUGCAAGUCGGACGGGGCACGGUCCUUCGGGAGCGUGCCGAGUGGCGGACGGGUGAGUAACACGUGGGCGACCUGCCGCUUGGUGGGGGAUACCCCGCGGAAACGCGGGUUAAGACCGCAUACGCUGGUCUGGAUGAAGCCGGACCAGGAAAA
This 200-nucleotide ribosomal RNA is filed under the name uncultured bacterium. Its description in RNAcentral is "partial 16S ribosomal RNA". It matches the Rfam family "Bacterial small subunit ribosomal RNA", at positions 8 to 206 of the family's 1533-position model. The record is from RNAcentral.